This 627-nucleotide ribosomal RNA is filed under the name uncultured Pseudomonas sp. Its description in RNAcentral is "bacterial SSU rRNA". It matches the Rfam family "Bacterial small subunit ribosomal RNA", at positions 56 to 678 of the family's 1533-position model. The record is from RNAcentral. Lineage: Bacteria; Pseudomonadati; Pseudomonadota; Gammaproteobacteria; Pseudomonadales; Pseudomonadaceae.
UGCAGUCGAGCGGUAGAGAGAAGCUUGCUUCUCUUGAGAGCGGCGGACGGGUGAGUAAUGCCUAGGAAUCUGCCUGGUAGUGGGGGAUAACGUUCGGAAACGGACGCUAAUACCGCAUACGUCCUACGGGAGAAAGCAGGGGACCUUCGGGCCUUGCGCUAUCAGAUGAGCCUAGGUCGGAUUAGCUAGUUGGUGAGGUAAUGGCUCACCAAGGCGACGAUCCGUAACUGGUCUGAGAGGAUGAUCAGUCACACUGGAACUGAGACACGGUCCAGACUCCUACGGGAGGCAGCAGUGGGGAAUAUUGGACAAUGGGCGAAAGCCUGAUCCAGCCAUGCCGCGUGUGUGAAGAAGGUCUUCGGAUUGUAAAGCACUUUAAGUUGGGAGGAAGGGUUGUAGAUUAAUACUCUGCAAUUUUGACGUUACCGACAGAAUAAGCACCGGCUAACUCUGUGCCAGCAGCCGCGGUAAUACAGAGGGUGCAAGCGUUAAUCGGAAUUACUGGGCGUAAAGCGCGCGUAGGUGGUUUGUUAAGUUGGAUGUGAAAUCCCCGGGCUCAACCUGGGAACUGCAUUCAAAACUGACUGACUAGAGUAUGGUAGAGGGUGGGUGGAAUUUCCUGUGUAG